GACAGAGGUGCCGAGCGUUAGGCGGAAUCACUGGGCUUAAAGCGUGUGUAGGCGGAUGGGUAAGUACCUUGUGAAAUCCCGCGGCUCAACCGUGGAACUGCUCGGUAUACUGCUCGUCUUGAGCCAACUAGGGGCGACCGGAACAAACGGUGGAGCGGUGAAAUGCGUAGAUAUCGUUUGGAACGCCGAUGGUGAAAACAGGUCGCUGGGGUUGUGCUGACGCUGAGACACGAAAGCCAGGGGAGCGAACGGG
This 253-nucleotide ribosomal RNA is filed under the name uncultured bacterium. Its description in RNAcentral is "partial 16S ribosomal RNA". It matches the Rfam family "Bacterial small subunit ribosomal RNA", at positions 524 to 776 of the family's 1533-position model. The record is from RNAcentral.